AAAAAAAGAAAAGAAAAAAAAAAGAAAUUACACAUGCUCUUUGAUAGUACCUUGCUAUAUGUGAAAAAAUCCUAGUAUAAUUCUUGGCAUAUAUCAAUGGCUCAUCAUUUCCCACUACCUUUGCCUACCUGCUUUUCUUUCUCUCACUACCUCCCUUUCUCUCUUUUUCCUUUCCUUCCUAGCAUUUUUUUCACCCUUUCCCCAUCAUGACUACUUCAUUUUACAUGAAGUACCUCCUGAUUAUUUCAAUGAAAACUGACUACCUGCUUUCUGACUGUCAUUGAACAUAACCAAUGACCUAGAAUUAAGUUAUUUUACGUAUUUUAUUUUGAAAGAUCUUUUGGAAUUCUCUCAUAUGCAAAUUUGCACCUCUCUGAAAAUAUUGUGAAUCUAUUAAGAGUAGCGAUAAACUCGUCAACAGAUUUUGCAUAUUUCAGACAACCUAUUAUUUCCUCCUAUACAUUUAAGUUCCUUAUAGAUUCUGGGUAUUAAACCUUUGUUAUGUGCAUAGUUUGCAAAUAUUUUAUCCCAUUUUGUAUGUUGUCUGUUUAUUCUGUUAGUUUCUUUUGCUGUGAAGAAGCUCUUAAAUUUAAUUAGAUCCCAUUUGUCAAUUUUUGCUUUUGUUGUGAUUGCUUUUGGUUUCUUUGUCAUGAAAUCUUUGCCCAUGCCUAUGUUCAUGAUGAUAUUGCCUAGGUUGUCUUCCAGGAUUUUUAUAGUUUUGGGUUUUACGUUUAAGUCUUUAAUCCAUCUUGAGUUAAGUUUUGUAUAUGGUGCAAGGAAGAGGUCCAACAUCAGUCUACUGCGUAUGGCUAGUCAGCUAUCCCAGCACCAUUUAUUGAAUAGGGAGUCUUUUCCCUAUUGCUUGUUUUUGUCAAACUAUCAUUUUAAAAACAGGUCUAUGAUAUUGUGCCUGUAACAGCCUUCUAGACUAUUUUCAACACAAGGAUAAAUUUUUAUAUCAUAUAAAUUUUCACAAAACUAAAAAAUAAUCAUCAAACUAAUAUGCAUAAAAUAUUUAUUAAAUAUAUACCACUUAUAAAUUCAAUUUUUCACAAGGAAUUUUACAAAAUAAAAUUAGUCACUCUGUAUCUUUUCUGAAACUGUGAUUUACCCAUGGGUUUUAGGUAUAUAUUCAAAAACCCAAAUCAGUCAAAAGCAAAUAAUUCAAGAAAAUAUUUAUUGUUUAUGCUUCAUAAAUCACUUAACUUUGGUUUGUAUUUUUCUCCCAUACUAUAGAAUUAAUCAAUUUAGAAUUUGAUCAGAAAUACUUAUUUAACCAUUAUCACUAUGAAUGACCUUGCAUAGGCAACCAACAUGCAUCUUUCCUCUAAACUAUUGUAAAAGCUCUCUAAAUUAUCUCCAUGCUUGCACCGGCAGCUCUAUAGUCCAUACUCCACCAUGUUGCCAGAGUGGUUCUUUUAAAGUAGGCCAGAUCACAGAGGAAUAUUAUUUAGCCAUAAAGAGAAGAGCAUCUUGCCGAUUUUUAUAACAUGGAUGAAACUGAAAGACAUUAUGAUAAGUGAAAUAAGCCUGACAGAGAAAGACAAAUACUGUAUGAUCUCUCUUACAUG
RNAcentral lists this long non-coding RNA (1571 nucleotides) under Macaca fascicularis (crab-eating macaque). RNAcentral describes it as "lncRNA (ENSMFAG00000052753.1)". The record is from RNAcentral. Lineage: Eukaryota; Metazoa; Chordata; Mammalia; Primates; Cercopithecidae.